Molecule: ribosomal RNA, 379 nt
Filed under: uncultured cyanobacterium
Lineage: Bacteria; Bacillati; Cyanobacteriota
Description: bacterial SSU rRNA
Rfam family: Bacterial small subunit ribosomal RNA
Source: RNAcentral
CGAAAGCCUGACGGAGCAACGCCGCGUGCGGGAGGACGGCCUUAGGGUUGUAAACCGCUUUUCUCAGGGAAGAAGUACUGACGGUACCUGAGGAAUAAGCCUCGGCUAACUCCGUGCCAGCAGCCGCGGUAAUACGGAGGAGGCAAGCGUUAUCCGGAAUUAUUGGGCGUAAAGCGUCCGCAGGGGGCGCAUCAAGUCUGCUGUCAAAGGUCGGAGCUUAACUCCGGUUCGGCAGUGGAAACUGGUGCGCUAGAGGGCGACAGGGGUAGAGGGAAUUCCCAGUGUAGCGGUGAAAUGCGUAGAGAUUGGGAAGAACACCGGUGGCGAAAGCGCUCUACUGGGUCGCACCUGACCCUCAGGGACGAAAGCUAAGGUAGCG